UACGUAGGGAGCAAGCGUUGUCCGGAAUCAUUGGGCGUAAAGCGCGCGUAGGCGGCCUCAUAAGUCCGUUGUGAAAGUCAAAGGCUCAACCUUUGAAAGCCGAUGGAUACUGUGAGGCUAGAGUUCAGAAGAGGCGAGUGGAAUUCCUGGUGUAGCGGUGGAAUGCGCAGAUAUCAGGAGGAACACCAAUAGCGAAGGCAGCUCGCUGGGACGAUACUGACGCUAAGGCGCGAAAGCGUGGGGAGCGAACAGG
RNAcentral lists this ribosomal RNA (253 nucleotides) under uncultured prokaryote. RNAcentral's name for it is "partial 16S ribosomal RNA". It matches the Rfam family "Bacterial small subunit ribosomal RNA", at positions 524 to 776 of the family's 1533-position model. The record is from RNAcentral.